This 837-nucleotide ribosomal RNA is filed under the name Phomatosporaceae sp. IHEM 28235. RNAcentral's name for it is "partial 28S ribosomal RNA". It matches the Rfam family "Eukaryotic large subunit ribosomal RNA", at positions 72 to 938 of the family's 3401-position model. The record is from RNAcentral. Lineage: Eukaryota; Fungi; Ascomycota; Sordariomycetes; Phomatosporaceae.
GGAUUGCCCCAGUAACGGCGAGUGAAGCGGCAACAGCUCAGAUUUGAAAUCUGCCUUUACGGGCCGAGUUGUAAUCUGUAGAGGAUGCUUUUGGCAAGGCGCCGUCCGAGUUCCCUGGAACGGGACGCCGGAGAGGGUGAGAGCCCCGUACAGGCGGACGCCGAGCCUUUGUAAAGCUCCUUCGACGAGUCGAGUAGUUUGGGAAUGCUGCUCAAAGCGGGAGGUAAAUUUCUUCUAAAGCUAAAUAUAGGCCAGAGACCGAUAGCGCACAAGUAGAGUGAUCGAAAGAUGAAAAGCACUUUGAAAAGAGGGUUAAAAAGCACGUGAAAUUGUUGAAAGGGAAGCGCCUGUGACCAGACUCGCGCCCGGCGGAUCAUCCGGCGUUCUCGCCGGUGCACUCCGUCGGGCUCGGGCCAGCAUCGGUUCUAGCGGGGGGAUAAAGGCGGCGGGGAUGUGGCUCCCUCGGGAGUGUUAUAGCCCGCCGCUCAAUGCCCUCGCCGGGACCGAGGACCGCGCAUUUAUGCAAGGAUGCUGGCGUAAUGGUCACCAGCGACCCGUCUUGAAACACGGACCAAGGAGUCAAGCAUUAGGGCGAGUGUUUGGGUGUAAAACCCGCACGCGAAAUGAAAGUGAACGUAGGUGGGAGCCUCGGCGCACCAUCGACCGAUCCUGAAGUCUUCGGAUGGAUUUGAGUAAGAGCCUUAACGCUUGGACCCGAAAGAUGGUGAACUAUGCUUGUGUAGGGUGAAGCCAGAGGAAACUCUGGUGGAGGCUCGCAGCGGUUCUGACGUGCAAAUCGAUCGUCAAACAUGAGCAUGGGGGCGAAAGACUAAUCGA